Erinaceus europaeus (western European hedgehog) is the source of this 110-nucleotide small nucleolar RNA. Its record names the gene U3. It matches the Rfam family "Small nucleolar RNA U3". From Rfam's summary of the family: Small nucleolar RNAs (snoRNAs) are involved in the processing and modification of rRNA in the nucleolus. There are two main classes of snoRNAs: the box C/D class, and the box H/ACA class. The record is from Ensembl. NCBI's taxonomy places the organism in Eukaryota, Metazoa, Chordata, Mammalia, Eulipotyphla, Erinaceidae.
GUGUUCUCUCUGAGUGUGAAGCCGGCUCUAGGUGUUGCUUCUGCAACUGCCUCUUGCCAUUGAUGAUUGUUUUUCUCUUCCUUUGGGGGAGAAGAGGGAGAGGACACAAU